Molecule: ribosomal RNA, 468 nt
Filed under: uncultured bacterium
Lineage: Bacteria
Description: bacterial SSU rRNA
Rfam family: Bacterial small subunit ribosomal RNA
Source: RNAcentral
ACGCUGGCGGCGUGCCUAACACAUGCAAGUCGAGCGAGGAGAUUCCUUCGGGAUGAUCCUAGCGGCGACGGGUGAGUAACACGUGGGCAACCUGCCUCAUAGAGAGGAAUAGCCUUCCGAAAGGGAGAUUAAUACCUCAUAACAUUGCAGUUUCGCAUGGAACAGCAAUUAAAGGAGUAAUCCGCUAUGAGAUGGGCCCGCGGCGCAUUAGCUAGUUGGUGAGGUAACGGCUCACCAAGGCGACGAUGCGUAGCCGACCUGAGAGGGUGAUCGGCCACAUUGGGACUGAGACACGGCCCAGACUCCUACGGGAGGCAGCAGUGGGGAAUAUUGCACAAUGGGGGAAACCCUGAUGCCAGCAACGCCGCGUGAGUGAUGACGGCCUUCGGGUUGUAAAGCUCUGUCUUCAGGGACGAUAAUGACGGUACCUGAGGAGGAAGCCACGGCUAACUACGUGCCAGCCGCCGC